Molecule: ribosomal RNA, 468 nt
Filed under: uncultured bacterium
Lineage: Bacteria
Description: partial 16S ribosomal RNA
Rfam family: Bacterial small subunit ribosomal RNA
Source: RNAcentral
GACGAACGCUGGCGGCGUGCUUAACACAUGCAAGUCGAACGGAAAGGCCCUGCUUUUGUGGGGUGCUCGAGUGGCGAACGGGUGAGUAACACGUGAGUAACCUGCCCUUGACUUUGGGAUAACUUCAGGAAACUGGGGCUAAUACCAGAUAGGAUCUCCUGCUGCAUGGUGGGGGUUGGAAAUUUUCGGCGGUUGGGGAUGGACUCGCGGCUUAUCAGCUUGUUGGUGGGGUAGUGGCUUACCAAGGCUUGGACGGGUAGCCGGCCUGAGAGGGUGACCGGCCACAUUGGGACUGCGAUACGGCCCAGACUCCUACGGGAGGCAGCAGUGGGGAAUAUUGCACAAUGGGCGGAAGCCUGAUGCAGCAACGCCGCGUGCGGGAUGACGGCCUUCGGGUUGUAAACCGCUUUCGCCUGUGACGAAGCGUGAGUGACGGUAAUGGGUAAAGAAGCACCGGCUAACUACGUG